GGUAGCCGGCCUGAGAGGGCGACCGGCCACACUGGGACUGAGACACGGCCCAGACUCCUACGGGAGGCAGCAGUGGGGAAUAUUGCACAAUGGGCGCAAGCCUGAUGCAGCGACGCCGCGUGAGGGAUGACGGCCUUCGGGUUGUAAACCUCUUUCAGCAGGGACGAAGCGCAAGUGACGGUACCUGCAGAAGAAGCACCGGCCAACUACGUGCCAGCAGCCGCGGUAAUACGUAGGGUGCGAGCGUUGUCCGGAAUUACUGGGCGUAAAGAGCUCGUAGGCGGUUUGUCGCGUCGUCUGUGAAAUCCCGCAGCUCAACUGCGGGCUUGCAGGCGAUACGGGCAGACUCGAGUACUGCAGGGGAGACUGGAAUUCCUGGUGUAGCGGUGAAAUGCGCACAUAUCAGGAGGAACACCGGUGGCAAACGCGGUUCUCUGGGCAGUAGCUGACGCUGACACACCGAAAGCGUGGUUAGCGAACAGGAUUAGAUACCGUGGUAGUGCACGCCAUAAACGGGGGGCGCUGGGUGUGUUUUUCCUUCCACGACAUCGUGUCCC
RNAcentral lists this ribosomal RNA (557 nucleotides) under Rhodococcus sp. juwr827. RNAcentral describes it as "bacterial SSU rRNA". It matches the Rfam family "Bacterial small subunit ribosomal RNA", at positions 282 to 849 of the family's 1533-position model. The record is from RNAcentral. Lineage: Bacteria; Bacillati; Actinomycetota; Actinomycetes; Mycobacteriales; Nocardiaceae.